AGCAUGUGAGUGUGAGCGAAUCUCAAAAAUAAACGUCUCAGUUCGGAUUGUAGUCUGCAACUCGACUACAUGAAGCUGGAAUCGCUAGUAAUCGCGGAUCAGAAUGCCGCGGUGAAUACGUUCCCGGGUCUUGUACACACCGCCCGUCACACCAUGGGAGUCAGUAACGCCCGAAGCCGGUGACCCAACCAGACUUGGAGGGAGCCGUCGAAGGCGGGACGGAUGACUGGGGUGAAGUCGUAACAAGGUACC
Molecule: ribosomal RNA, 252 nt
Filed under: uncultured bacterium
Lineage: Bacteria
Description: partial 16S ribosomal RNA
Rfam family: Bacterial small subunit ribosomal RNA
Source: RNAcentral